UUUGAUUUGUCCACUUAAUUUUUAGAAGUACCUUUGUUUUCUUCUUCCUUUUUUUGUUAACUCAAACCAAUUGAUUAGUUCUUUAUUAAAAACAUUGACAGAGGCAACGAAAUUCCAAUUAAUCAGUUCUUCUGGUGAUUUCGAGAUGUUGGAGGUUCGAUUUAGGAUUUUUCUUUUGCUUUUUUCAAGGGAUGAAGAUAAGCUAGGGGAUUUUAUGGUGAUUCCGAAUUGUGAUUUUUAGAGGAAGGUGGUGGCUGCUGGUUAUUUGGUUACAAUGAAGAAAUAAUUUGUAGGCGGCUGUUUUUUUUUUUUUUUUUUGGUUAGUUGUAGUUUGGGGAGAAGUUAAGGGGCGAGGGGUACGCAUGGAUGAACAACGAUUAUGCCCGAUGUGACAUGGAAGGGUGAUCUUAGUGGGGGAUGAUGAAUGAGGUGUACGAUAAUUACAACAGGAAUUACAACAUAAGACAGUAAUUCCUCAACCAGUGACAACGGACAAACAUAAUGAAUAAAGGUGGCACAACAUCACCUAUUGUGCUUUUACUCUCAACCUCACAAUGAAAUGAUAAUUAUAGUACGACAUCACCCUUCGUACUUUUACUUUCGAUCUCUCUAUGAAACAAUAAAUACAACACGACAUGGCAUCACCCUUCGUGCUUUAACUCUCUUUAUCACCAUGUAUGAAUCAGUAAAUGAAACAAAUAACG
Molecule: long non-coding RNA, 704 nt
Filed under: Nicotiana benthamiana
Lineage: Eukaryota; Viridiplantae; Streptophyta; Magnoliopsida; Solanales; Solanaceae
Description: long non-coding RNA (NBEN_LNC022907)
Source: RNAcentral